CUUUCUGACCUUAAGUGUUUAGAUAUUUGACAUCUGUCUGUAGUGCUGAUGUGAUCUCAAGCUUUGUACCCAAUAAGCUUCUGAGAUGGUUUUCUCUUUCUGUUAUUCAGUGAGUCAACCUGAUAACUGUGUUCCCAUGGAGGCUGUGGGGGAUCCACAUACUGUGACUGUUUCCAUGGACAGCAGUGAAAUAUCCAUGAUCAUCAAUUCUAUCAAAGAAGAGUGUUUUCGAUCAGGGGUAGCAGAGGCUCCUGUUGGAUCAAAGGCUCCCAGCAUAGAUGGGAAGGAAGAAUUAGAUCUGGCUGAGAAGAUGGAUAUUGCUGUGUCUUACACAGGUGAAGAGCUGGAUUUUGAGACUGUCGGAGACAUCAUUGCCAUCAUUGAGGACAAGGUAGAUGAUCAUCCUGAAGUGCUGGAUGUGGCAGCAGUGGAAGCAGCACUGUCAUUUUGUGAAGAAAAUGAUGAUCCUCAGUCCCUGCCUGGCCCCUGGGAGCAUCCUAUCCAGCAGGAGCGGGACAAGCCAGUAUCUCUCCCUG
This 536-nucleotide small RNA is filed under the name Pongo abelii (Sumatran orangutan). RNAcentral describes it as "retained intron". Lineage: Eukaryota; Metazoa; Chordata; Mammalia; Primates; Hominidae. The record is from RNAcentral.